UUGGAGGGUCCGAGCAACAUGGUACGAAUUAUACUUUUGAAAAUUAUUGAUCAAUAUCCUUUACUUAUUGUUAUUAAACAUUCAUUAGGUCCGUCUGCACAAGUCCCGACGCAGCCUCGCAGAUUGAGCCCUGUACGUCCACAGUCAGAUUACUUCGGUGAUGAGGCCGGUCCGUCUUCGGCGGCCCCACACCCUACCCCCCCCCCGCAACGUACUACGGCACGUCAGCGUGGCCUUCUUCUGCUGCACCGUCGUACCACGCAGGCCCCUCCAGCCAGUACACAUGGACGCCUGCCGAGCCUUCACAGUCCUCCUACCCUAGUCAGGAGGAUGAGACUGGCCCCGACACCGCAUACGACAUCGUCCGUGACUUCUUCAGGGGCACACCUGACUACGACGUCCUUCAGCGGUCCCAGGUUUCCAGUGCACCGCUUCGGACC
Molecule: long non-coding RNA, 440 nt
Organism: Phragmites australis (common reed)
Lineage: Eukaryota; Viridiplantae; Streptophyta; Magnoliopsida; Poales; Poaceae
Exons: 3
Source: RefSeq, a predicted model, not a curated record